This 406-nucleotide ribosomal RNA is filed under the name uncultured bacterium. RNAcentral describes it as "partial 16S ribosomal RNA". It matches the Rfam family "Bacterial small subunit ribosomal RNA", at positions 30 to 526 of the family's 1533-position model. The record is from RNAcentral.
AUUGAACGCUGGCGGCAGGCCUAACACAUGCAAGUCGAACGAGUGGCGGACGGGUGAGUAAUGUCUGGGAAACUGCCUGAUGGAGGGGGAUAACUACUGGAAACGGUAGCUAAUACCGCAUACCAUAGGAUGUGCCCAGAUGGGAUUAGCUAGUAGGUGGGGUAAAGGCUCACCUAGGCGACGAUCCCUAGCUGGUCGAGGAGGAUUACCAGCCCCACUGGAACUGAGACACGGCCCAGACUCCUACGGGAGGGAGCAGUGGGGAAUAUUGGACAAUUGGCGCAAGCCUGAUGCAGCCAUGCCGCGGGUAUUGAGAAGGCCUUCGGGUUGGAAAGUACUUUCCGCUGGGAGGCCUUUCCCUCAGAAGAAGCACCGGCUAACUCCGUGCCAGCCGCCGCGGUAAUAC